AGCUCCAAUAGCGUAUACUAAAGUUGUUGCAGUUAAAAAGCUCGUAGUUGAAUUUCUGGUCGUGGCCACCGGUCCGCCCUUCACGGGGUGUGUACCAGGUGGCUGCGUCCAUCCUCGGGGAGAGCAUAUCGGGCAUUAAGUUGUCUGGUGUGGGAUCCUCGUCAUUUACUGUGAGCAAAAUAGAGUGUUCAAAGCAGGCUUAGGCCGUUGAAUACAUUAGCAUGGAAUAAUAAGAUAGGACCUUGGUCUAUUUUGUUGGUUUGCAUUCCAAGGUAAUGAUUAAUAGGGAUAGUUGGGGGUAUUCGUAUUCAAUUGUCAGAGGUGAAAUUCUUGGAUUUAUGGAAGACGAACUACUGCGAAAGCAUUUACCAAGGAUGUUUUCAUUAAUCAAGAACGAAAG
Molecule: ribosomal RNA, 400 nt
Filed under: phytoplankton environmental sample
Lineage: Eukaryota
Description: partial small subunit ribosomal RNA
Rfam family: Eukaryotic small subunit ribosomal RNA
Source: RNAcentral